UACGUAGGGUCCAAGCGUUGAUCGGAAUUACUGGGCGUAAAGCGUGCGCAGGCGGUUGCGCAAGACCGAUGUGAAAUCCCCGAGCUUAACUUGGGAAUUGCAUUGGGGACUGCGCGGCUAGAGUGUGUCAGAGGGGGGUAGAAUUCCACGUGUAGCAGUGAAAUGCGUAGAGAUGUGGAGGAAUACCGAUGGCGAAGGCAGCCCCCUGGGAUAACACUGACGCUCAUGCACGAAAGCGUGGGGAGCAAACAGG
This 253-nucleotide ribosomal RNA is filed under the name uncultured bacterium. Its description in RNAcentral is "partial 16S ribosomal RNA". It matches the Rfam family "Bacterial small subunit ribosomal RNA", at positions 524 to 776 of the family's 1533-position model. The record is from RNAcentral.